Equus asinus (donkey) is the source of this 1678-nucleotide long non-coding RNA. The record is from Ensembl. Lineage: Eukaryota; Metazoa; Chordata; Mammalia; Perissodactyla; Equidae.
GCAAAAGAGGCUUCAAAACAAAACAGAACAAUGAGAUAGAAUGACCGGACGUGGGAUGGGGGAACUAUUUUAGAUUUGGUGGCUUCUGAAGAGAGGACAUUUAAGCUGCUAUAUGAACACCAAGGAACCAACCUUCUGAAGAUCUGUGGUUAUGUCCCUGGCAGAGGGAACACUAAGAGUUGUACACUCAAAGCAAAUCUGUGUGGGGAUGAAGAGUCAGGAUCCAAUGGCCAUCUGUUUUACCAACAGGAGAAAAGGAGCUCCCACACUGGUAGAGUAUUCCCAGCAUGGUUUGACAAUGGGAUUUAAUCAGGCUUCAAGGCAAAACUUCAAAGGUUUGAGUGACAUCAGCAUCAUGGCGGAGUGAGCUGUUGCCUGAUAUUCUCCUGUCUGGUAUACAAAAGAGGAUAUUUAGAUACUAACAGAGGACAUUCACACAGCACAAAAGAUGUCUCAGAGAUGAAAGCAGCCACAUGUCUGAAGGUGGAGGUACUGGAUCCCUUGGAGGAAAGGGAAGGAGCUCUGAUCAGGGUGACCCUGGCAUCCUUCAUGGAAGUCCCCAGUCCCUUACAGGCUGGGCCUCUCUCCCAUUCACUUCUCUGCUGGUCUGACUUCCACACCUUCUGUACUGGUCUCUCCUUGUGUAACCAGAUCAACCCUGAGCUAACAUCUGUUGCCAAUCCUCCUCUUUUUGCUGAGGAAGACUGGCCCUGAGCUUACAUCCAUGCCCAUCUGCCUCUACUUUCUAUGUGGGACACCUAUCACAGCGUGGCGUGCCAAGUGAUGCCAUGUCCGCACCGGGAUCCAAACUGGUGAACCCCAGGCCGCUGAAGCGGGACAUGUGAACUUAACUGCCAUGCCACUGAGCCGGCCCCGGAACUCAGACAUUCCUGAAGCCUGAGGACCUCAGGGCAGGUUUCUUGACCAGCCUGAACUGGUUCUGGCCACAGCUGUCCACAUCAAGUUCUGGGUCCUGACAGCACUGCUUGGACCAAACACAACAAGGCUGACAGGAUGGAAACCUGAAAAUAGUAACUUUAUAGCUUCAAGAAGGAAGAAAAUCUGUGAAUGUACUGAAAGCCAUUGAGAUGUACGUCAUCAAUGGGAGAAGUGUAUGAUUUCUGAAUUAUAUCUCAAUAAAGUUGUUUUCAGAAACAUAAGGAACUCUUAUUUAAUAGGAGCCAUGGGAGUUAGACUGGCUCCUGGAAGCCUUGUCAAGAUCCUGCUUCAAGAUAUGGAAGUGUAGGGUCCAUUUCAUUUUUGGUUUGUUUUCCUGUAAGUACAUGGUUCAUAUAUGUGAAAGUUGGCAGCCCUGGGAGCAGUGGUAUCGAAGCAUUGGUGUUGGUACUAGUCUGUUAAAAAGUGGGAUGUCAUUUGUGCUCUGUGCUUUCUAGAUUGUUGGCCUUUAGCAACUUCUGAGUCAUCCCUUCCUUUUGCUCUUGGAAGCUGCCCCCAGGGACUCUGUGUCCAACCAGCAUGAUGGGAGCCCUUGAGAAGUCCCUCACAAAAUAGGUGGCUGCAUCCUGCUGGGAUGUUUAUAAUGGGGAAAUCAUUAGGAGUGACAUGACCAACAGGUGAAUGAGUUGUGCUUUCUUUAGUAAAGUGUUCACGUCCAGAGUGUUGAUUUAUGCAAAGCUAAAAGGGUCCUUAAUGUCCUUAGGCUUGUCCAAAUAUAAAG